CGGACGGGUGAGUAAUGUCUGGGAAACUGCCUGAUGGAGGGGAUAACUACUGGAAACGGUAGCUAAUACCGCAUAACGUCGCAAGACCAAAGAGGGGGACCUUCGGGCCUCUUGCCAUCAGAUGUGCCCAGAUGGGAUUAGCUAGUAGGUGGGGUAACGGCUCACCUAGGCGACGAUCCCUAGCUGGUCUGAGAGGAUGACCAGCCACACUGGAACUGAGACACGGUCCAG
This 231-nucleotide ribosomal RNA is filed under the name uncultured Enterobacterales bacterium. Its description in RNAcentral is "partial 16S ribosomal RNA". It matches the Rfam family "Bacterial small subunit ribosomal RNA", at positions 99 to 334 of the family's 1533-position model. Lineage: Bacteria; Pseudomonadati; Pseudomonadota; Gammaproteobacteria; Enterobacterales. The record is from RNAcentral.